CCUACGGGUGGCAGCAGUGAGGAAUAUUGGUCAAUGAGCGGGAGCCUGAACCAGCCAAGUCGCGUGCGGGAUGACGGUCCUAUGGGUUGUAAACCUCUUUUGCCGGGGAGCACAGUGCCGCACGGGUACGGUUUGGAGCGUACCCGGAGAAAUAGCAUAGGCUAACUCCGUGCCAGCCGCCGCGGUAAUACGGAGGAUGCGAGCGUUAUCCGGAUUUAUUGGGUUAAAAGGGUGCGUAGGCGGACGUUUAAGUCAGCGGUAAAAUUUCGGGGCUCAACCUCGUCGAGCCGUUGAAACGAGGAGCCUUGAGUUGGCGAGAGGUACGCGGAAUGCGUGGUGUAGCGGUGAAAUGCAUAGAUAUCACGCAGAACUCCGAAUGCGAAGGCAGCGUACCGGCGCCCAACUGACGCUGAAGCACGAAGGCGUGGGUAUCGAACAGGAUUAGAUACCCUAGUAGUC
RNAcentral lists this ribosomal RNA (459 nucleotides) under uncultured bacterium. RNAcentral's name for it is "partial 16S ribosomal RNA". It matches the Rfam family "Bacterial small subunit ribosomal RNA", at positions 338 to 795 of the family's 1533-position model. The record is from RNAcentral.